UACGUAGGGUGCGAGCGUUGUCCGGAAUUACUGGGCGUAAAGAGCUCGUAGGUGGUUUGUCGCGUUGUUCGUGAAAACUCACAACUCAAUUGUGGGCGUGCGGGCGAUACGGGCAGACUGGAGUACUGCAGGGGAGACUGGAAUUCCUGGUGUAGCGGUGGAAUGCGUAGAUAUCAGGAGGAACACCGGUGGCGAAGGCGGUUCUCUGGGCAUGUCCUGACGCUGAGGAGCGAAAGUGUGGGGAGCGAACAGG
This 253-nucleotide ribosomal RNA is filed under the name uncultured bacterium. Its description in RNAcentral is "partial 16S ribosomal RNA". It matches the Rfam family "Bacterial small subunit ribosomal RNA", at positions 524 to 776 of the family's 1533-position model. The record is from RNAcentral.